Molecule: ribosomal RNA, 254 nt
Filed under: uncultured bacterium
Lineage: Bacteria
Description: partial 16S ribosomal RNA
Rfam family: Bacterial small subunit ribosomal RNA
Source: RNAcentral
UACAGAGGUGCCGAGCGUUAGGCGGAAUCACUGGGCUUAAAGCGUGUGUAGGCGGAUGCCUAAGUACCUUGUGAAAUCCCCCGGCUUAACCGGGGAACUGCUUGGUAUACUGGGUGUCUUGAGCCACUUAGGGGCGACCGGAACAAACGGUGGAGCGGUGAAAUGCGUAGAUAUCGUUUGGAACGCCAAUGGUGAAAACAGGUCGCUGGGAGUGUGCUGACGCUGAGACACGAAAGCCAGGGGAGCGAACAGGG